This 497-nucleotide ribosomal RNA is filed under the name uncultured bacterium. Its description in RNAcentral is "partial 16S ribosomal RNA". It matches the Rfam family "Bacterial small subunit ribosomal RNA", at positions 28 to 507 of the family's 1533-position model. The record is from RNAcentral.
GAUGAACGCUGGCGGCGUGCCUAAUACAUGCAAGUCGAGCGAACGGACGAGAAGCUUGCUUCUCUGAUGUUAGCGGCGGACGGGUGAGUAACACGUGGAUAACCUACCUAUAAGACUGGGAUAACUUCGUGAAACCGGAGCUACUACCGGAUAAUAUUUUGAACCGCAUGGUUCAAAAGUGAAAGACGGUCUUCCUGUCACUUAUAGAUGGAUCCGCGCUGCAUUAGCUAGUUGGUAAGGUAACGGCUUACCAAGGCAACGAUGCAUAGCCGACCUGAGAGGGUGAUCGGCCACACUGGAACUGAGACACGGUCCAGACUCCUACGGGAGGCAGCAGUAGGGAAUCUUCCGCAAUGGGCGAAAGCCUGACGGAGCAACGCCGCGUGAGUGAUGAAGGUCUUCGGAUCGUAAAACUCUGUUAUUAGGGAAGAACAUAUGUGUAAGUAACUGUGCACAUCUUGACGGUACCUAAUCAGAAAGCCACGGCUAACUACGUG